UACAGAGGGUGCGAGCGUUACUCGGAAUUAUUGGGCGUAAAGGGCGCGUAGGCGGUUUCGUGCGUCAGAGGUGAAAUCCCCGGGCUUAACCCGGGAACUGCCCCUGAUACGGCGAGACUUGAGUCCGGGAGAGGGGAGCAGAAUUCCCAGCGUAGCGGUGAAAUGCGUAGAUAUUGGGAGGAAUACCAGUGGCGAAGGCGGCUCCCUGGACCGGUACUGACGCUGAGGCGCGAAAGCGUGGGUAGCAAACAGG
Molecule: ribosomal RNA, 253 nt
Filed under: uncultured bacterium
Lineage: Bacteria
Description: partial 16S ribosomal RNA
Rfam family: Bacterial small subunit ribosomal RNA
Source: RNAcentral